UUGGUGACCAGCGGAGGGAUCAUUACCGAGUUUACAACUCCCAAACCCAAUGUGAACCAUACCAAACUGUUGCCUCGGCGGGGUCACGCCCCGGGUGCGUCGCAGCCCCGGAACCAGGCGCCCGCCGGAGGGACCAACCAAACUCUUUACUGUAGUCCCCUCGCGGACGUUAUUUCUUACAGCUCUGAGCAAAAAAUUCAAAAUGAAUCAAAACUUUCAACAACGGAUCUCUUGGUUCUGGCAUCGAUGAAGAACGCAGCGAAAUGCGAUAAGUAAUGUGAAUUGCAGAAUUCAGUGAAUCAUCGAAUCUUUGAACGCACAUUGCGCCCGCCAGUAUUCUGGCGGGCAUGCCUGUCCGAGCGUCAUUUCAACCCUCGAACCCCUCCGGGGGGUCGGCGUUGGGGAUCGGGAACCCCUCAGACGGGAUCCCGGCCCCGAAAUACAGUGGCGGUCUCGCCGCAGCCUCUCCUGCGCAGUAGUUUGCACAACUCGCACCGGGAGCGCGGCGCGUCCACGUCCGUAAAACACCCAACUUUCUGAAAUGUUGACCUCGGAUCAGGUAGGAAUACCCGCUGAACUUAAGCAUAUCAAUAAAGCGGAGG
This 602-nucleotide ribosomal RNA is filed under the name Trichoderma erinaceum. RNAcentral's name for it is "eukaryotic LSU rRNA". The stretch from base 212 to 365 matches the Rfam family "5.8S ribosomal RNA". The record is from RNAcentral. Lineage: Eukaryota; Fungi; Ascomycota; Sordariomycetes; Hypocreales; Hypocreaceae.